GAGAGGUGCUGCAUGGCUGUCGUCAGCUCGUGUUGUGAAAUGUUGGGUUAAGUCUCGCAACGAGCGCAACCCCUAUCAUCUGUUGCCAGCAUUAAGUUGGGCACUCUGACGAGACUGCCUGGGUUAACCAGGAGGAAGGUGGGGAUGACGUCAAGUCCUCAUGGCCCUUAUGUCUAGGGCUACACACGUAAUACAAUGGCGCGUACAGAGGGAAGCGAACUCGCAAGGGGGAGCAAAUCUCAAAAAGCGCGCCUCAGUUCGGAUUGAAGUCUGCAACUCGACUCCAUGAAAUUGGAAUCGCUAGUA
Molecule: ribosomal RNA, 306 nt
Filed under: uncultured Peredibacter sp.
Lineage: Bacteria; Pseudomonadati; Bdellovibrionota; Bacteriovoracia; Bacteriovoracales; Bacteriovoracaceae
Description: bacterial SSU rRNA
Rfam family: Bacterial small subunit ribosomal RNA
Source: RNAcentral